GACGAACGCUGGCGGCGUGCUUAACACAUGCAAGUCGAACGGAAAGGCCUGCUUUCCCUUGUGGAUUGCGGGUGCUCGAGUGGCGAACGGGUGAGUAACACGUGAGUGAUCUGCCCCCAACUUGGGUAUAAGCCUGGGAAACUGGGUCUAAUUCCCGAUAGGACUGCAGGGUGGUGCCUGUGGUGGAAAACGAUUUUCUAGUGGUUGGGGAUGAGCUCGCGGCCUAUCAGCUUGUUGGUGGGGUAAUGGCCUACCAAGGCGGCGACGGGUAGCCGGCCUGGGAGGGUGGACGUCCGCAUUGGGACUGAGAUACGGCCCAUGCUCCUACGGGCGGCAGCAGUGGGGAAUAUUGCACGAUGGGCGGAAGCCUGAGGCAGCGACGCCGCGUGGGGGAUGACGGCCUUCGGGUUGUAAACUCCUUUCGACCGCGAGGAAGCCACCUGGUUGGAAGGGUGGUGACGGUAGUGGUAGAAGAAGCACCGGCUAACUACGUG
Molecule: ribosomal RNA, 494 nt
Filed under: uncultured bacterium
Lineage: Bacteria
Description: partial 16S ribosomal RNA
Rfam family: Bacterial small subunit ribosomal RNA
Source: RNAcentral